This 390-nucleotide ribosomal RNA is filed under the name Staphylococcus epidermidis. RNAcentral describes it as "bacterial SSU rRNA". It matches the Rfam family "Bacterial small subunit ribosomal RNA", at positions 59 to 399 of the family's 1533-position model. The record is from RNAcentral. Lineage: Bacteria; Bacillati; Bacillota; Bacilli; Caryophanales; Staphylococcaceae.
AGGUCUGACGCAGAGCAGACUAGGAGCUUCGCUCCUCUGACGUUAGCGGCGGACGGGUGAGUAACACGUGGAUAACCUACCUAUAAGACUGGGAUAACUUCGGGAAACCGGAGCUAAUACCGGAUAAUAUAUUGAACCGCAUGGUUUAUUAGUGAAAGACGGUUUUUCUGUCACUUAUACAUGGAUCCCGGCCGCAUUAGCUAGUUGCCUAGGUUUCGGCUUACCAAGGCCACGAUGCGUUCCCCACCUGAGAGGCGGAUCGGCCUGACUGGACCUGAUCCCCGCUGCAGACUGCUACGCGUAGCGCAGCAGGGAAUCCUCCGCCAUGUCCAAUUGCUGACGGAGCUUCGCCGAGGGAGUGGUGUACCCUUCGCCUGCAAAAAUUACGAA